RNAcentral lists this non-coding RNA (136 nucleotides) under Paraliobacillus sp. PM-2. RNAcentral's name for it is "FMN riboswitch aptamer (RFN element)". It matches the Rfam family "FMN riboswitch aptamer (RFN element)". From Rfam's summary of the family: The RFN element is a highly conserved domain that is found frequently in the 5'-untranslated regions of prokaryotic mRNAs that encode for flavin mononucleotide (FMN) biosynthesis and transport proteins. This element is a metabolite-dependent riboswitch that directly binds FMN in the absence of proteins. In Bacillus subtilis, the riboswitch most likely controls gene expression by causing premature transcription termination within the 5' untranslated region of the ribDEAHT operon and precluding access to the ribosome-binding site of ypaA mRNA. Lineage: Bacteria; Bacillati; Bacillota; Bacilli; Caryophanales; Bacillaceae. The record is from Rfam by way of RNAcentral. RNAcentral also lists the same sequence under 1 other name.
UUCUAUCUUCGGGGCAGGGUGUAAUUCCCGACCGACGGUAACAAGCAAUUUGCUUGAAGUCCGUGACCCGCAUGUUGCGGUGGAUCUGGUGAGAGUCCAGAGCCGACAGUUAAAGUCUGGAUGGGAGAAGAUACGG